UUAUCAUUUUUUAUAUAAGGCUGGAUUUUCUUCCUUAAAUUAGUUUCCCUGUCACUGUGUCAGUCAAUACUCCUUGAAAAUAUAAACAUGAAUCUUAGCCUAUUGCUGAGUGCUGGCAAAUAGGCAACCACGUGGUAAGUAAAUUUAUUGUCACAGGACAACAUCUUUAACAACUAAGUUUUCUUUUUGACAGUGCUUCACUUAUGGGUGGAUGAAUGCAAUGCACCCUACUGUCCCCUUGCUGGUUGAGAGAAAAAUUUAUCACAUGGAUGUAUUCAGUAGUAGCUCUUAUUUUAGCAAAUUAGCAAUGAUUUCGGUCCUGUGCAAGUAAUUAAGUCUGAAUAUAUUUGGACACAGUUCAAUCUUUCUGUAAUUGGGGGAGCAGGAUUUGAGUCACUGUGGGGAUCAGAAUGGGGAAGCAGGACAAAAUAAAAAUAAUAGCAAGAGACAAACAGUUCAUGUGAUGAAUUAAAACAGUUCACAAGGAUUUUUAAACUCAGAAACAAGUGGAUUUUUCACAUUGUUUUGUGAAUUGAUGUUGUAAUAUAUUUUAAUUUGUGGACACAUUCUCCCUUGUGACACCUUGGCAGAAAGAAAUUUAAACAGCAGCUUACCAUUAUGAAAGACAAAUCUGAGUGACAAGCACGGCUCCCUGAGGAGGAGAAAAUCCUUCAUCCUGGUUUGCACCAUUCAAAGCUCCGUUGUCCAGGAUGUCUGGUGAUUUUGACUGAAAGAUUACCUGAUUCUGUCAUAGUUCAGAGCCUAAUUUUCUUAAAUCGCAUCAGAACCCUUGGAUAAAUACCAUCUGGUACUAACUACUUGCCAUACCUCAAAGCAUAAAUUCCUCUUGUUGGAAGAGGAGCAAAUACCACAGCACACUGUGUUGAUUGAAAAUGUAAUCUUUCCUUUCAUGGGCUGCUGUGGAAUAGGUGAUAACACUCGACCACAGGUGCUAACUAUUUGAGUGACAGCAACUCAGUGGGUCAUCCAAAACUGCUUCUUUGCUAUGUUGGAGGAAUGGGCAAUUACAAGGGGAGGAGAUUAAAAGAAGAUCCUGCUAAGUAGUGUAACUAUGCUGUGAGUGGGAGUACAUCCUCCUGCAGAGCUCCCAAGUCAUUUGUGGCCAAGUGAAAAAAUGGUUCAGUAUCUGGUAUGGCAAAAAUUGCGUUUCCAGCUCCACCAAAUAAUUCUUACCCUUGAAAUUUUUUGCUGUUCAGUGCACAGUGAAGCACUGGGCACUUUGAAUAUCAUCAUUCCCAAGUGACCAGGAGAUAAUAUUGGCAACUGGUGGAUUAGUCUUAAGUCUCUUGGUAAUAAACUUCUUAUGAAGAGGCCACAUCUUAUCUCUGAAAUAAGAUGCGCUCAGAGACAUUCAUUAGGAAUUAAUCAGAAUCGAUAUGAGACACAGUGAAGCUAUAUACUUGUCUGAUUAAAGCAGCCACAAGAUGCCAACAGCCUGCUUUUGCAUAGCACACAAUGCAUUUAACUCCUGCCAAAUUCAGGUGUCCUACAAGGCUGGGGAUCCCAUAUAUGUCUUCUGUGUUACGAAAUGAAAAAAAUUCCUAUAUAAACUUUUGUUGCAGUUUUCCUGCCUUGUAUGUAAGAAAAGCCACAGUUCAGAAAAGGGAGCAAGGAAAUGCCAAAGUUUCUAGCAGUUGAGAGGUGCUCAAUAACAGAAAGAAAGAAAAAAACAAACAGGAUGUUUCUGUGAGAAGAGACUAUACUUACUGAUAACAGUCUUCAAAGUGACUGACAGGGAAAAUGGAAAAUUGUGGAAAAAGGGAGACAUGACAGUACUUAAAUUAUUCCCUGAAGCCAAUUUAAAAUAUAGUGAAGGUGCAAUAUCUUUUGCCACGAAAAUUAGAAUAACUCUACUGUUGUUGGUAACAGGUAGAUGUCCCAUUCAAUUAAUAUGUGUUUUGGGGAGGAAGAUGGUUAUAGAGGUGAAAGUAAGGGUUAAAGAACCUCAGCACUCCUGUCUUUCAGCAAUCCCUGUGGUACCCCAGCAUGUGUGACGAGGUGCUGACAGAGAGGGAUGGAGGUCAGAUUUCUGACUUCACUUUCCGACUUCAGGAAAGCAAAAACCUUUAAGGGUAUUGUCACUUUUUUUGUGAAGUCAGGUCAAUGCAAACCUUGCGAUCACUUUCAGUGGAGUUUGAAUUUCAUAUUUGGCUUUUAAUAAAAACUGUAACCCACGUUCAUGAAAAGCUGGAAGAAAUUUUCCCAGGGUUUCGGAACACAGCCAAAUCCAGCUGGACUGGUACCUCAGACAAAUUAAGGAGAAAAAGUAAAUCUCAGGAGACUCUCAUAGGUUGCAUUAAUUUUUAAAACACCCAUGUCCUGGUUUUUAGGAGUAAACAGCAACUACAGUUCUCACUAAAACUCAGAAAAUGAGACCAAAUAUGCUUAUUCAGCAGAAGAGCAGUAGAAGGCAAACUCUUCUGCAGUAACAGGACAGACAGACAUAAGGAAAGGUCUUUAAUGCAGAAAACAUUUCAAUGCCCAUGAUAGAGGUAUUUCCAUCUCCCUCAAUAUUUUUCAUUACAUUACUACAGCUGCUGUGUGGAAAUUGUCUGCAACAAUGAAGUCUUUGUCUAGGAAUACCACCCCCUGGCUUCUAGAUUCAACUAACAGGGAUUUGAUACCAAUAGAGACCUCAAAUAAAAUUUCAUUUUAAUAGCAAGAGGUAAACACUGAAAAAUUGGAAUACUGAGCAUCAAAAUUAGUCUAUAAGGGAAAAGUGAUACAUAUGGUUUCCUUAUCAGAUGAAACAGCUGAUAUGUGCCUGGCAGGUCAGAGAUUUUGGAAAAUUAGGAAUCUGCACAUUGUGGACUUUGAUGUGGGCAUGGAAUUCAUUUGAAGAGACCCAAAGAUUGUUCAAGGGCUUGUUAAAAACACACGUGUAAAUAUACAUCCUGGGUGUAAAAGCAGUAUGUUAAAAGACAUACAGGAGUAUUUUAAAAAAUUGCAAAAAUAAAAAUGUGGCCAAAAUUGGA
Molecule: long non-coding RNA, 2996 nt
Organism: Harpia harpyja (harpy eagle)
Lineage: Eukaryota; Metazoa; Chordata; Aves; Accipitriformes; Accipitridae
Exons: 2
Source: RefSeq, a predicted model, not a curated record